This 678-nucleotide long non-coding RNA is filed under the name Ursus thibetanus thibetanus. Its description in RNAcentral is "lncRNA (ENSUTTG00000001092.1)". Lineage: Eukaryota; Metazoa; Chordata; Mammalia; Carnivora; Ursidae. The record is from RNAcentral.
UGAAAUUUUAUGCUCCUAGUAAGUAUGUCCCCCUAUUCUUAACAGGCCCUGUUUACAGAGUGCAAGAGGCGCUUAGACUACUCCAUGUUCCUGUUCUGGAGGCUAGAAGUCUGAAAUCAAGUUGUUGACAGGGUUAAGUGGAUAGAUCUGGUGGAGGAGAGAUAUGACAUGUCUCUACUUGGACUAUGAGAUAGAGGGACUGGCAUCUUAGUACUGCAAACCUCAGUGACAAUUUAGAUCAGGCCCAAAUAAUCAAAGGGGCUGCGACAUUUGCAUUUCCACCGGCAGUGAAAAAGAGCUCCUGUUGCUCUACAUCCUUGGCAACAUUUGGUAUUGACGGUGUUCUGGAUAAUGGCAUUUCUAAUAGGUUUUUCAACCAAAUAAAAGCAUCUGCAUUCUUACUUUAGACUGCUAACUAAGAUCCCAUAUAGGUAAGUUCUUACUUAACACUGCUAAGCUGCCAGUCCAAAUUGGGAUGGGUAACCAAAAAAUGGAGCCAAACAGUAAAUGUUACUUGUCUUUCACAGCUGUUUUUCAACUCCUGUUACCUUAAGACUAUUCCACAUUGUCCGGUGUCAGGAUCUAAAAGCAAAUAGGUGACUUUCUAUUUGGUUUUUAACUGUAAUAUUAGUUCAGGUCAAAUAGCCAGUUGACAGAGAUUAAUCAAAACAUGAGAAU